CGGCGGACGGGUGAGUAAUGUCUGGGAAACUGCCCGAUGGAGGGGGAUAACUACUGGAAACGGUAGCUAAUACCGCAUAACGUCGCAAGACCAAAGAGGGGGCCUUCGGGCCUCUUGCCAUCGGAUGUGCCCAGAUGGGAUUAGCUAGUAGGUGGGGUAACGGCUCACCUAGGCGACGAUCCCUAGCUGGUCUGAGAGGAUGACCAGCCACACUGGAACUGAGACACGGUCCAG
This 234-nucleotide ribosomal RNA is filed under the name uncultured bacterium. Its description in RNAcentral is "partial 16S ribosomal RNA". It matches the Rfam family "Bacterial small subunit ribosomal RNA", at positions 96 to 334 of the family's 1533-position model. The record is from RNAcentral.